ACGGGACGGGAUGGGAUGGGACGGGACGGGGUGUUGGCGGUUCGGCCGCUGUUGGCGCCCAGCCUUCCUGCUUCUCUUUGAGAUAAAAACCUUGGAAAGCGCCGUGUGGCAGCGCGCCGUGUCGGUAACUCGGUUCCACGAGCUGCGCGGAGAAUCAAACGCGGAAACCCGGCACUUUUAACCCGGUUUUCUCUUUUCUUAAAGGAGAGGAGCGCCGCAGGGAGCCCCCAACCUGCCCGGAGGGGAUGCUGAGACUGCACGAUAUCUUAGAAAAAGAACACUGGACCUUUUGUCCAUUUGAACAACGUCUGAAAGUUGCUGUGAACGCACGAGUUGUGAGAUACUCCGCUGUGAUCUCCCGCAGCAGUGAUGAUUCUGAGCCUGGAUGAUGAACACGCGGCCCCAUGCGGAGCGCACUCUGUGAACGCACAACUUUGCAUAGGGAGAAGCAAGCAUACAGAAGUUCUGCUGAAAUUGGCUGCCUUCCCCCGUGUCUUCAGAUCAUGCAGUCUGAGUGCCCAGGGGACUCCAGCUUUUGGACCAGGACUGAAGAAACAUCAUGUGGAUGACCUGCAUGACAUAAUCCAUAUUCAGGUAUACUAAUAACUGCGUUCUUACUUGGACCUCACUCUGCUUCUUUGGUUCAGCAUCACUCAGCCCUGUGCUGUCCAAGCCAGCAUCAACUCAGGUGUGUGAAACAUCAUGACAUGCUGCAUUUCUUGAUAGAAGCAAACGUCAAGGCAGAAAAAUUAAGGGAAAGAUGUAGGGUGCUGUUCAAAAGAGCUUUCAAAUACUGCAGAUCGCACAAAUAAAUAGUUUUUUCCCACAGAACCACAUGUAUGUCAUGAACAAAAGCUAUAGUACAAACAUGUAUUUGCCAAAGAGAGGUUUCAAGUUUUGCCCUGAUUUGAGUCAUUUGUACAUCAAUGUGCUUUUUGCAUAAAACAGAAAUGGUUACAUCUAUUCUACCACAGCAGCUUCAACAUACGUUAAAAUGUGAUGACAGGUAUUUCAACUACAAAUAGAAGAAAGAGGAUUUCAUUUCACUGCAUUUUCUUCUAGACAACAGGCAUUUUUCUUGCACAGAGAAUGCUGGUAUGCAUAGCAAUCCACAGGAACUAUGAGGCAUCUUAUGUUCCUGUUCACUGAAGUAAACGUUGAUUGUGCAACCAUCAGUUUGCUGUGAACUUCUCUGCUUUACUGUACAGAGUAUGGCAUAGUUGUCUGAGGGAUAAGUGCUUCAUCACUUGGUUGUCCUUAUAAAACACAGCCCAGGUUUUACCAUUUGAAAUAUUUACCAUGUAUUACCCAUGUGUAAUAUUCAAUGCAUAUAAAUGCAUGCAAGUAAGUAUGUUUUUUUUAAAAAAAAACUUCAUUGCCAGCAGUAAAGAAGUUUGUAGGAAUAUGAUCAAGCUGUUUAUGUAGACAUGGAUUUAAGGGAUGUAAUGUUGAUAUCAUUGGUACCAUGGGGUUCUGAAGAACAGGACAUACAGACAAGCACGCUGUUUUACCUUAUUUUCAUUACAUCUUCCUUAAAUAACUUUGCUUUCGUGUAUUUUCAUUGCAGAGGAUAAUCUGUAAAACCAUAUCCCCAUCUAUGGCAGUGUUAGACACCACUGGUGGCUAGCUGGAAAGUUACACCAGCUGAGAUUGGUUAAGUCAGUUCAGCUUGUGUUACCUGGCAGUUUUCCUUGGGAGGUAAUUCGUUGCAAGUUGUUUAACGCUAACAUAGAUAGCAAAAUACAUACCAGUGUGUAUGGUGGUGCGAGUGCUGAUGUUGUUCUGGGACCAAAAGCUUGUGAGGGCAAGUCAGUGAGUUGUCAUUCUUCUGAUUGACAGGUGUCAGGAAAAUCUAUUUCCGAAUGUCUGCAAAAAGUAAGGCUCUAUUCUGAAUAACACUGGGGAAAAAAGUGAUGUUAAUACAAUGGUAAUAAAAAUUGCUUAAAGCAAUGGAAAAA
Non-coding RNA from Coturnix japonica (Japanese quail), 1958 nucleotides. The record is from RefSeq and is a predicted model, not a curated record. NCBI's taxonomy places the organism in Eukaryota, Metazoa, Chordata, Aves, Galliformes, Phasianidae.